RNAcentral lists this ribosomal RNA (521 nucleotides) under uncultured Glomus. RNAcentral describes it as "SSU rRNA". It matches the Rfam family "Eukaryotic small subunit ribosomal RNA", at positions 569 to 1092 of the family's 1831-position model. The record is from RNAcentral. Lineage: Eukaryota; Fungi; Glomeromycota; Glomeromycetes; Glomerales; Glomeraceae.
AGCAGCCCGCGGUAAUUCCAGCUCCAAUAGCGUAUAUUAAAGUUGUUGCAGUUAAAAAGCUCGUAGUUGAAUUUCGGGAUUAGUACGUUUGGUCGUGCCUUAGGUACGUACUGGUGUUACUGGUUCCUACCUUCUGACGAACCAUCAUGUCAUUAAUUUGGUGUGGCGGGGAAUCAGGACUGUUACUUUGAAAAAAUUAGAGUGUUUAAAGCAGGCUCGCGCUUGAAUACAUUAGCAUGGAAUAAUGAAAUAGGACGUUGACCCUAUUUUGUUGGUUUCUAGGAUUGACGUAAUGAUUAAUAGGGAUAGUUGGGGGCAUUAGUAUUCAAUUGUCAGAGGUGAAAUUCUUGGAUUUAUUGAAGACUAACUACUGCGAAAGCAUUUGCCAAGGAUGUUUUCAUUAAUCAAGAACGAAAGUUAGGGGAUCGAAGACGAUCAGAUACCGUCGUAGUCUUAACCAUAAACUAUGCCGACUAGGGAUCGGAUGAUGUUAUUUUUAAUGACUCAUUCGGCGCCUUACG